This 558-nucleotide long non-coding RNA is filed under the name Homo sapiens (human). RNAcentral's name for it is "HSALNT0308683". Lineage: Eukaryota; Metazoa; Chordata; Mammalia; Primates; Hominidae. The record is from RNAcentral.
CUACUGUAAAUAAUUAUAUCGAUUUGAAUAACAUCUGGAAAAAUCUUGAAGCCCUUUACUUGAAAUGAUUUUAUGAACAGGCACUACAUUCACUCAACCACUUUAGUAGUGUCACUAGUGUGAUGAAAUGUGGCUGUGAAAGACCUGAGAACAUAAUCAUUUGGAUAGCCAGACAGCCAAGAAUGGCAGCAAUUGGAUAUGUGAUCUUGGACCUGAGUAUGAAGCCAAUAUCGGUGAUAGAGGUAACAAACACACGGAAUUGUGAGUCUCAAGAAAGGUCAGAAAUGAGAGGAUCAGCAUGAGGAACAAGGACAAACCAUCCAAAUCAAGGGAAGAAAGCCCAGGUAUCUAUUAGGCAGUAUAGCCACUGGCUAUGACAGAAAAUGUCACCAACCAGAAGCUGACAAUCAAGAGAGCCCUUUCUCAGGGCUAAGAAGAAGGAGUGAAAAAUAAAUCUAGAGGGGCCAAUGAAAGAUAUCUGACACACAUAAAAUCAGUCACACAUGGGUGAACUGUAAGAGACUGAAAGUAAAUAAAUGAAUGAAGUUACCCUUGUCA